RNAcentral lists this long non-coding RNA (230 nucleotides) under Elaeis guineensis (African oil palm). RNAcentral describes it as "long non-coding RNA (EGUI_LNC028509)". The record is from RNAcentral. Lineage: Eukaryota; Viridiplantae; Streptophyta; Magnoliopsida; Arecales; Arecaceae.
UAUUAACUUAAGUUAUCCAACUUACAUUAGGAAACCCAUUAGGCGCCAACUAUUGGAGCUCUUGCACCCAUAAUUAGACAUCCUCUUUUGCACCCAAGAGACACCCCAUACAAAAAUCAAAGGCUCUCUAAUUAAUGGACAUGUCCAAAUUGAUCAAAUUAAAGUGGCGCCCCAUAAAAACUAUCAAAGAGGUUCAUAAGAGACUUGCAUCCUUAAUUUAUAUGAUCCAU